CAGGGAUUGAACCCAAGUCUCCCACAUCACAGGCAGAUUCUUUAUCAUUUGAGCCACCAGGGAAGCACAGAGGUAUAUACGAAAUAUUUAUUGAAUGCUUUUAGAUUUCAUUCUUUCAGCCAUCAAAUAUUUAUGAUGCAUUUACGCUAAGAGCCAGACAUUAUGCUGGACUCGUGUAAAAUGGAACUAAACCAGAGAGACAAUAUCUCUAAGUUCAUAGAAUUUAAAAUCAAGAGAGGAAAGAAACAAUUUAACAAGUGUCUGUUUUAUACUUGUGGACUCUAAAUUUCACUGAAAUUUGUGAAAUUCCCCAAUGUUCACUGUUCUUAAGUGGCACAACUGGGAUGAACAGCCAGGAAUUUGGAAUUAGCUUGUCAGGUCUCCUUCUUUUAUGGCAUUUGGGAUUAACAUAUGUGAUUUUUUAAAAUUAAUAAUUGCACGUGUUUGUUUGUACUCACAAUGCCCUUCAUUGAGCAGGAAUUUUGUUGCUGUUUGCAUCUAUUGGGAGAGUUCUCAAAGGUAUUAAGGAUUAUCAUUAGACGAUGCUCAUCAAUCAUUAUUAUUGUGGAUAAGCUUCAUUUGAUCUGCCCUUCAAGAACAUCAAAAUUUGAGACUGGAGCACUUCUUCCAGGGGUUUCCCAAAUGGUACUAGGGGUGAAGAAUCCACCUGCCAAUGCAAGAGACACACAAGACACAGGUUCGACCCCUGGAUUGGGAAGAUCCCCUGGAGGAAGAAAUGGCAACCCACUCCAGUAUUCUUGCCUGGAAAAUUCCACAGACAGAGGAGUCUGGUGGGCUACAGUUCAUGGGGUUGCAAAGAGUUGGACACGACUGAGCCACCGAGCACACCUGUUCUGUGUCAUAUAA
RNAcentral lists this long non-coding RNA (867 nucleotides) under Capra hircus (goat). Its description in RNAcentral is "lncRNA (ENSCHIG00000007151.1)". Lineage: Eukaryota; Metazoa; Chordata; Mammalia; Artiodactyla; Bovidae. The record is from RNAcentral.